GCUGACGCCUGCCCGGUGCUGGAAGGUUAAGGGGAUCUGUUAGAGCAAUCGAAGCAGUGAACUUAAGCCCCAGUAAACGGCGGCCGUAACUAUACCGGUCCUAAGGUAGCGAAAUUCCUUGUCGGGUAAGUUCCGACCCGCACGAAAGGCGUAACGAUUUGGGCACUGUCUCAACAACAGACUCGGUGAAAUUGUAAUUCCGGUGAAGAUGCCGGAUACCUG
RNAcentral lists this ribosomal RNA (222 nucleotides) under Clostridioides difficile. RNAcentral's name for it is "partial 23S ribosomal RNA". It matches the Rfam family "Bacterial large subunit ribosomal RNA", at positions 1851 to 2072 of the family's 2925-position model. The record is from RNAcentral. Lineage: Bacteria; Bacillati; Bacillota; Clostridia; Peptostreptococcales; Peptostreptococcaceae.